GUCGAGCGAACGGACGAGAGUGCUUGCACUCUCUGAUGUUAGCGGCGGACGGGUGAGUAACACGUGGGUAACCUACCUAUAAGACUGGGAUAACUUCGGGAAACCGGAGCUAAUACCGGAUAAUAUUUAGCUUCGCAUGAAGCAAUAGUGAAAGACGGUUCUGCUGUCACUUAUAGAUGGACCCGCGGUGUAUUAGCUAGUUGGUGAGGUAACGGCUCACCAAGGCAACGAUACAUAGCCGACCUGAGAGGGUGAUCGGCCACACUGGGACUGAGACACGGCCCAGACUCCUACGGGAGGCAGCAG
This 306-nucleotide ribosomal RNA is filed under the name Macrococcus sp. 'CIFT MFB 10569(5PO)'. Its description in RNAcentral is "bacterial SSU rRNA". It matches the Rfam family "Bacterial small subunit ribosomal RNA", at positions 61 to 354 of the family's 1533-position model. Lineage: Bacteria; Bacillati; Bacillota; Bacilli; Caryophanales; Staphylococcaceae. The record is from RNAcentral.